This is a long non-coding RNA of Leucoraja erinaceus (little skate), 626 nucleotides long. RefSeq lists it as uncharacterized. The transcript has 5 exons. The record is from RefSeq and is a predicted model, not a curated record. NCBI's taxonomy places the organism in Eukaryota, Metazoa, Chordata, Chondrichthyes, Rajiformes, Rajidae.
UGGAUGAUUCUAUCCCUUUCUUUGUCUGACAAUUGUCGCCUGCGAUGGUACAGGGGCAGACUCGUGUCUCACACGGUCACCGAGAAUGGAACGGAAGUACAGAUACAGGGAGGAGACAGGACAAGGACUUUCACGAGGAUUGAGCAUCUGUGACAAAGAAGCAGGAGGAAGGAAGAACCUUGUCUUACAAUCAGCUUGAAGCACAAAGUUAUUAUUUCAUGGAUCUAUAACGAUUCCUCCAAAGAUGCAGAAGGAAAAUACUUUACUGGAAUCUUAAAAUCAGAAAACUACCCAAUCGGCACAUUAUAUAAUUGUCGUCGAAGUGACAAAACAAUUGUACAUUCGAGAUUUCCCCUUUACAUCAUCAUUCUUAUUCAUUUAAUGCAAAUCGUGAGUUGGAGAAAAUCAGCACAGCCAACUCAAAUAAAAUGCAAGAGUUACAGUAAAUGUUUGACGAAGGGAACAUUGUGGCAUUUAAUCUGCACAAUCAGCAUUUGCACUUUAAAGGAAACAGGUUUAGAAUAAUGUAACUCUGCUUACCUGGAUUGCAGUCUGUAAGAAGAGAACAAAUGGAGAGAAGAACUUUGGAGAUCGUCAGUGCUGGGCUCCAGUUAUCCUUCAAAAUA